AACGAACGCUGGCGGCAUGCCUAACACAUGCAAGUCGAACGAUUGCCUUCGGGUGAUAGUGGCGCACGGGUGCGUAACGCGUGGGAAUCUGCCCUUAGGUUCGGAAUAACAGCUGGAAACGGCUGCUACUACCGGAAGAUAUCGCGAGAUCAAAGAUUUAUCGCCUGAGGAUGAGCCCGCGUUGGAUUAUGUAGGUGGUGGGGUAAAGGCCUACCAAGCCGACGAUCCAUAGCUGGUCUGAGAGGAUGAUCAGCCACACUGGGACUGAGACACGGCCCAGACUCCUACGAGAGGCAGCAGUGGGGAAUAUUGGACAAUGGGCGCGAGCCUGAUCCGGCAAUGCCGCGUGAGUGAUGAAGGCCCUAGGGUUGUAAAGCUCUUGUAGCCGGGAAGAUAAUGACUGUACCGGGAGAAUAAGCCCCGGCUAACUCCGUG
RNAcentral lists this ribosomal RNA (435 nucleotides) under uncultured bacterium. RNAcentral's name for it is "partial 16S ribosomal RNA". It matches the Rfam family "Bacterial small subunit ribosomal RNA", at positions 29 to 507 of the family's 1533-position model. The record is from RNAcentral.